AACGUAGGACACAAGCGUUAUCCGGAGUUACUGGGCGUAAAGGGCGUGUAGGCGGACCUAUAAGUCUAUUCUGAAAGCUCCUGGCUAAACUGGGAGAGGCGAAUGGAGACUGUAGAUCUAGAGUGAGGAAGAGGAAAGUGGAAUUCCGCGUGUAGUGGUGAAAUGCGUAGAGAUGCGGAGGAACACCAGUGGCGAAGGCGACUUUCUGGUCCUUAACUGACGCUGAGGCGCGAAAGCAUGGGGAGCGAACGGG
Molecule: ribosomal RNA, 253 nt
Filed under: uncultured bacterium
Lineage: Bacteria
Description: partial 16S ribosomal RNA
Rfam family: Bacterial small subunit ribosomal RNA
Source: RNAcentral